AUUUAGCUGACGAGUCUCGAAUGGGACGAAACGCGUGUCCUCAAC
Schistosoma curassoni is the source of this 45-nucleotide non-coding RNA. Lineage: Eukaryota; Metazoa; Platyhelminthes; Trematoda; Strigeidida; Schistosomatidae. The record is from Rfam.